GAGGGUGUAGCUCAAGCGGCAGGGCGCAGGCUUAGCGUGCGGGAGGCCCUGGGUUCAAUCCCCAGCACCUCCU
This 73-nucleotide transfer RNA is filed under the name Camelus bactrianus (Bactrian camel). It matches the Rfam family "tRNA". From Rfam's summary of the family: Transfer RNA (tRNA) molecules are approximately 80 nucleotides in length. Their secondary structure includes four short double-helical elements and three loops (D, anti-codon, and T loops). The record is from Rfam by way of RNAcentral. RNAcentral also lists the same sequence under 3 other names. Lineage: Eukaryota; Metazoa; Chordata; Mammalia; Artiodactyla; Camelidae.